GUGGGUGGGAUUGCUGUUGCCGCUUCAUUCGCUGUUCUCCUUCUGGCUCUUUUUCUCUGGGUGAUUCGUAAAAAAAGAGCAGGCAACAGAAGAGGGACUGGUGACUCUGUGGAGCAGACAGAUGAUGUGACUUAUACUGAAGUCACUGCGUACAGUAAAAAACGAGGCAAAAAGAACAAGGUUCGCUGUGAUGAUAGAGUGACGUAUGCUUCCAUCAGAGGAGCAAAAGCUGGAGCUCAGGAGAACUGCAGUGAACUUUAUGCCUCUGUGAACAAGAACACAUCAGUCAAAUAAUUAUACAAAACACACAUGAGCAGAGCAAUAUCAAUCUAAUAUAACUAAUGGGUUCAUUCAUUGUUAAUACUUUCAAUGUCUUUUACAUGUUAACAAACAAAUUGUAAUGGAUUGUUGUCUUUUGUCCUCUUGGUGUUCUGGCUUUGAG
Molecule: long non-coding RNA, 442 nt
Organism: Rhinichthys klamathensis goyatoka
Lineage: Eukaryota; Metazoa; Chordata; Actinopteri; Cypriniformes; Leuciscidae
Exons: 4
Source: RefSeq, a predicted model, not a curated record